UAGUCUGGGAUACCACUUGGAAACAGGUGCUAAUACCGGAUAAGAAAGCGGAUCGCAUGAUCAGCUUUUAAAAGGCGGCGUAAGCUGUCGCUAUGGGAUGGCCCCGCGGUGCAUUAGCUAGUUGGUGAGGUAAAGGCUUACCAAGGCGAUGAUGCAUAGCCGAGUUGAGAGACUGAUCGGCCACAUUGGGACUGAGACACGGCCCAAACUCCUACGGGAGGCAGCAGGC
This 229-nucleotide ribosomal RNA is filed under the name uncultured Lactobacillus sp. RNAcentral describes it as "partial 16S ribosomal RNA". It matches the Rfam family "Bacterial small subunit ribosomal RNA", at positions 134 to 354 of the family's 1533-position model. Lineage: Bacteria; Bacillati; Bacillota; Bacilli; Lactobacillales; Lactobacillaceae. The record is from RNAcentral.